Molecule: long non-coding RNA, 531 nt
Organism: Parus major (Great Tit)
Lineage: Eukaryota; Metazoa; Chordata; Aves; Passeriformes; Paridae
Exons: 2
Source: RefSeq, a predicted model, not a curated record
AGGCAUCUAUUGAGAGGGUGUACAUCUGACACAGCUCACAGAGCCAGCAGAAAAGUCAGCACAGAUUAUUUUCCCACCCACACACUUUCACAAGGAGUCAACGGCGUCACUACUGCACAGGUCUCGUAAAGGGUCAAGGAUUUAUUUUUCUUGAGUGAGCAACAAACUUCUUUUUCCAUCAGCAAUAAUAUUUUGUGACAGUGAGGCACCAUCCCUAGGAUCCCAGUAGUCUCUGACCCAGCAGAUACUGAAACUGCAAGCGCACUCUUGGCGAAUAACCAGGGAGUUCUGCAUGGAGAAGCUGCAUGGAUGAGGUCUGGGGCAGACUACAGUUGCAAUCCUGAGUGCUGUAACAUGACUAUGGCAACAAAUGUGGGUUAAUCUGGAGUUUGGCUUUUGUGGCUCUAGGAGGCACUUCAUGAAAACCCAAACCAGCCAAGUCAAAUGAACAAACACCCACAUCCUUGGUAGCUUGACUCUGCUAAAAUUAAAUGCCCUGAGAUGAGCUUCUCUCAUCAGCUCCUUCCUAAA